CACGGGGGGAGCAAGCGUUGUUCGGAAUCACUGGGCGUAAAGCGCGUGUAGGCGGCCGGCUAGGUCUGGUGUGAAAACUCGAGGCUCAACCUCGAGAUGUCGCCGGAAACCAGUCGGCUAGAGUCCGGAAGAGGAGAGUGGAAUUCCUGGUGUAGCGGUGAAAUGCGCAGAUAUCAGGAAGAACACCUAUGGCGAAAGCAGCUCUCUGGGACGGUACUGACGCUGAGACGCGAAAGCGUGGGGAGCGAACAGG
RNAcentral lists this ribosomal RNA (253 nucleotides) under uncultured bacterium. RNAcentral describes it as "partial 16S ribosomal RNA". It matches the Rfam family "Bacterial small subunit ribosomal RNA", at positions 524 to 776 of the family's 1533-position model. The record is from RNAcentral.